CAUGCAAGUCGAACGGUGAUGUCAGAGCUUGCUCUGGCGGAUCAGUGGCGAACGGGUGAGUAACACGUGAGUAACCUGCCCCCGACUCUGGGAUAACUGCUAGAAAUGGUAGCUAAUACCGGAUAUGACGAUUGGCCGCAUGGUCUGGUCGUGGAAAGAAUUUCGGUUGGGGAUGGACUCGCGGCCUAUCAGGUUGUUGGUGAGGUAAUGGCUCACCAAGCCUACGACGGGUAGCCGGCCUGAGAGGGUGACCGGCCACACUGGGACUGAGACACGGCCCAGACUCCUACGGGAGGCAGCAGUGGGGAAUAUUGCACAAUGGGCGAAAGCCUGAUGCAGCAACGCCGCGUGAGGGAUGACGGCCUUCGGGUUGUAAACCUCUUUUAGUAGGGAAGAAGCGAAAGUGACGGUACCUGCAGAAAAAGCACCGGCUAACUACGUGCCAGCAGCCGCGGUAAUACGUAGGGUGCAAGCGUUGUCCGGAAUUAUUGGGCGUAAAGAGCUCGUAGGCGGUUUGUCGCGUCUGCUGUGAAAUCCCGAGGCUCAACCUCGGGUCUGCAGUGGGUACGGGCAGACUAGAGUGCGGUAGGGGAGAUUGGAAUUCCUGGUGUAGCGGUGGAAUGCGCAGAUAUCAGGAGGAACACCGAUGGCGAAGGCAGAUCUCUGGGCCGUAACUGACGCUGAGGAGCGAAAGCAUGGGGAGCGAACAGGAUUAGAUACCCUGGUAGUCCAUGCCGUAAACGUUGGGAACUAGAUGUGGGGACCAUUCCACGGUCUCCGUGUCGCAGCUAACGCAUUAAGUUCCCCGCCUGGGGAGUACGGCCGCAAGGCUAAAACUCAAAGGAAUUGACGGGGGCCCGCACAAGCGGCGGAGCAUGCGGAUUAAUUCGAUGCAACGCGAAGAACCUUACCAAGGCUUGACAUAUACCGGAAACAUGCAGAAAUGUGUGCCCCGCAAGGUCGGUAUACAGGUGGUGCAUGGUUGUCGUCAGCUCGUGUCGUGAGAUGUUGGGUUAAGUCCCGCAACGAGCGCAACCCUCGUUCUAUGUUGCCAGCACGUAAUGGUGGGAACUCAUAGGAGACUGCCGGGGUCAACUCGGAGGAAGGUGGGGAUGACGUCAAAUCAUCAUGCCCCUUAUGUCUUGGGCUUCACGCAUGCUACAAUGGCCGGUACAAAGGGCUGCGAUACCGUAAGGUGGAGCGAAUCCCAAAAAGCCGGUCUCAGUUCGGAUUGAGGUCUGCAACUCGACCUCAUGAAGUCGGAGUCGCUAGUAAUCGCAGAUCAGCAACGCUGCGGUGAAUACGUUCCCGGGCCUUGUACACACCGCCCGUCAAGUCAUGAAAGUCGGUAACACCCGAAGCCAGUGGCCUAACCGCAAGGGAGGAGCUGUCGAAGGUGGGAUCGGUGAUUAGGACUAAGUCGUAACAAGGUAGCCGUA
Molecule: ribosomal RNA, 1439 nt
Filed under: Clavibacter michiganensis subsp. michiganensis
Lineage: Bacteria; Bacillati; Actinomycetota; Actinomycetes; Micrococcales; Microbacteriaceae
Description: bacterial SSU rRNA
Rfam family: Bacterial small subunit ribosomal RNA
Source: RNAcentral